Long non-coding RNA from Eleginops maclovinus (Patagonian blennie), 984 nucleotides. RefSeq lists it as uncharacterized. Lineage: Eukaryota; Metazoa; Chordata; Actinopteri; Perciformes; Eleginopidae. The record is from RefSeq and is a predicted model, not a curated record. The transcript is spliced from 3 exons.
GUUGGUGUGGAUCACCCUACUCAAUCAAGGAAAGUGCCAACAGGUGAGCCUCGUUAAGUCCUUAGCAGGGAGGGUCAGGGCUCUGUCAACAUGAAGUCAAAAAGGACUGAGAGACGCAACCAUGGUGGAGGAAGGGGCCUAAUGUUCACCGGGGUACAGGAAGCUGCCAUUGUAAACUUGGUUUUGGAAAGUAAUGAAAUCAGAUUCCUGGAGUUCUGGAAAUGGAUGCUCAUGCAAUCCCGCAUGAGUUCAUCUUUGUAGAUGAGGCUGGGUUCAACUUAGCAAAGAAGAAGAAGGGGAAGGAAACGUCAUUGGCCACAGAGCCAUUAUAGAUGUUCCUUGCCAACGUGGUGGGAACAUCACAAUGUGCACUGCCAUCUCCAAUACGCAUGGUGUCCUCCACCGUCAUGCCAACCAUGGACCAUACAACACAGCCCAUUGUCUCACAUUUCUGGACAGACUCCACAAUAUUCUCAUACCACCAGAGCGUAUGAAUGAUGCAGAGCAUCGAAGAAACAGGUAUGUUAUAGUAUGAGCUUUCAUCGUGCAGCCCCAGUCCAAACCUGGUUUGCUGACCACCCACCAUUUGUCGUGCAAUACCUUCCACCAUACUCACCAUUUUUGAACCCCAUAGAAGAGUCCUUUUCAGCAUGGCGGUAGAAGGUUUACGACCGGCAGCCCUUUGUGCGCAUGCCUCUUUUGCAGGCUAUGGAAGAGGCAUGUGAUGAAAUUGAUGUGGGUGCGAUUCAGGGAUGGAUAAGCCACUCAUGGCGCUUCUUCCCUCGAUGUCUGGCAAGGGAAGAUAUUGCCUGUGAUGUGGACGAGGCGUUGUGGCCAGAUCCAGCUAUGCGGCAGGAUGCUGCGUAAUUACAGUAUUUUUCUCGCCUCUUUUUUUCAUAUAUAUUUUUUCUGCACAUUUUCUCUGUAAUUUUCUUUUUCAGUUUACUGUUUUUUGUUAGCAUAUUUUUGUUCACUCCAAUGUAU